UCAGAUUAGACUUCAUUUAAAAGAAAAAUA
RNAcentral lists this non-coding RNA (30 nucleotides) under Rattus norvegicus (Norway rat). The record is from RNAcentral. Lineage: Eukaryota; Metazoa; Chordata; Mammalia; Rodentia; Muridae.